CUACGGGCGGCUCCAGUGAGGAAUAUUGGACAAUGGAGGAAACUCUGAUCCAGCCAUGCCGCGUGAAUGAAGAAGGCCUUAGGGUUGUAAAGUUCUUUCAAUGGUGAAGAUAAUGACGGUAGCCAUAGAAGAAGCUCCGGCUAAAUUCGUGCCAGCAGCCGCGGUAAUACGAAUGGAGCAAGCGUUGUUCGGAAUCACUGGGCUUAAAGCGUGCGCAGGCGGAAAUGAAAGUCAGAAGUGAAAGCCCAGGGCUCAACCCUGGAACUGCUUUUGAAACUCCAUUUCUAGAAUCCGAUAGAGGUAAGGAGAAUUCCUAGUGUAGAGGUGAAAUUCGCAGAUAUUAGGAGGAAUACCAGUGGCGUAGGCGCCUUACUGGGUCGGUAUUGACGCUCAUGUACGAAAGCGUGGGGAGCAAACAGGAUUAGAUACCCGCGUAGUC
Molecule: ribosomal RNA, 439 nt
Filed under: uncultured bacterium
Lineage: Bacteria
Description: partial 16S ribosomal RNA
Rfam family: Bacterial small subunit ribosomal RNA
Source: RNAcentral